This 588-nucleotide ribosomal RNA is filed under the name Triticum aestivum (bread wheat). RNAcentral's name for it is "partial small subunit ribosomal RNA". Lineage: Eukaryota; Viridiplantae; Streptophyta; Magnoliopsida; Poales; Poaceae. The record is from RNAcentral.
AUGAAAAGAAAUGGCUGCUGGAGGUCGCUGACGCUAGUUCCAGCAUUUUGCCUGCACGGUUCCAGCAUUCUUGUUGCCCCGUUCCAACGCGCCGUAGUCGCGGUUGCAACAUCACGCCCUGUCCGCUCCCCGGCUCGCGGUCACCACGAACGCAGCAAAAAACGCUGUUGGUUCCAGCCCGCGGUCACCACGGGCACAACAAAAGACGCAGCUCUUUCCAGCUCGCGGUCAGCACGAACGCAGCAAAAAACACCGUUGGUUCCAGCUCGCGGUCACCACGGGCACAACAAAAAACGCAGCUCGUUCCAGCACGCGGUCACCACGGGUUGCAGCAAAACGCUGCUGGUUCCAACCUGCGGUCACCAUAUCCAGCACCGGCGGAGCCGGUCGCAGCAACAAAAAGGUUGCAACCGCAGGUCAGAGGUGCUAGAACAGGUAGAAGAAAAGCUGCGACCACACCUCGGCGCUGCUGGAACCAGGCGACGGAGACGCUGUGCGGCGAGAUGUUUUGCACCCACCGGCAACAUGUUUUGCUGGAACCGGCCAAACAAAAGUCGUAACUGGCAAAACAAAGCAAAAAAAGCCUAG